This 257-nucleotide ribosomal RNA is filed under the name uncultured bacterium. Its description in RNAcentral is "partial 16S ribosomal RNA". It matches the Rfam family "Bacterial small subunit ribosomal RNA", at positions 333 to 586 of the family's 1533-position model. The record is from RNAcentral.
GUACACCUACGGGAGGCAGCAGUGGGGGAUAUUGCACAAUGGGGGGAAGCCUGAACCAGCCAAAUCGCGUGAGGGAAUAAGGCCCUACGGGUCGUAAACCUCUUUUGCCGGGGAGCAAGGGCGGGGACGUGUCCCGGCCCGGAGAGUACCCGGAGAAAAAGCAUCGGCUAACUCCGUGCCAGCAGCCGCGGUAAUACGGAGGAUGCGAGCGUUAUCCGGAUUUAUUGGGUUUAAAGGGUGCGUAGGCGGGCUUUUAA